This 22-nucleotide microRNA is filed under the name Petromyzon marinus (sea lamprey). RNAcentral's name for it is "pma-miR-18a-3p". Its record names the gene pma-miR-18a-3p. Lineage: Eukaryota; Metazoa; Chordata; Hyperoartia; Petromyzontiformes; Petromyzontidae. The record is from miRBase by way of RNAcentral.
UACUGCUCUAUGUGCUCCUUUA